RNAcentral lists this ribosomal RNA (485 nucleotides) under uncultured bacterium. RNAcentral's name for it is "partial 16S ribosomal RNA". It matches the Rfam family "Bacterial small subunit ribosomal RNA", at positions 32 to 508 of the family's 1533-position model. The record is from RNAcentral.
AUUCAACGCUGGCGGCAGGCCUAACACAUGCAAGUCGAGCGGAUGAAGGGAGCUUGCUCCUGGAUUCAGCGGCGGACGGGUGAGUAAUGCCUAGGAAUCUGCCUGGUAGUGGGGGAUAACGUCCGGAAACGGGCGCUAAUACCGCAUACGUCCUGAGGGAGAAAGUGGGGGAUCUUCGGACCUCACGCUAUCAGAUGAGCCUAGGUCGGAUUAGCUAGUUGGUGGGGUAAAGGCCUACCAAGGCGACGAUCCGUAACUGGUCUGAGAGGAUGAUCAGUCACACUGGAACUGAGACACGGUCCAGACUCCUACGGGAGGCAGCAGUGGGGAAUAUUGGACAAUGGGCGAAAGCCUGAUCCAGCCAUGCCGCGUGUGUGAAGAAGGUCUUCGGAUUGUAAAGCACUUUAAGUUGGGAGGAAGGGCAGUAAGUUAAUACCUUGCUGUUUUGACGUUACCAACAGAAUAAGCACCGGCUAACUUCGUGC